CAAAUGGCCCUUUUCAGGGCCACAAAAUUUUCUCAAUGAAGGAAUA
This is a non-coding RNA of Cyphomyrmex costatus, 46 nucleotides long. The record is from Rfam. Lineage: Eukaryota; Metazoa; Arthropoda; Insecta; Hymenoptera; Formicidae.